GGAAGGCAGCAGGCACGCAAAUUACCCACUCCCGGCUCGGGGAGGUAGUGACGAAAAAUAACGAUACGGGACUCAUCGAGACCCCGUGAUCGGAAUGAGUACGCUCUAAAUCCCCUAACGAGGACCUACCGGAGGGCAAGACUAAUGCCAGCCGCUGCGGUAAUUUUAGCUCCGGUAGCGUAUACUAAAAUUGCUGCAGUUAAAAAGCUCGUAGUCGGACCUCUGCUCCGGACGCCGGGGGCCGCCCGCGCGGUCUCCCGCGCGCUUCCGGGCAUUCUGCCCGCCACCUCGCGGGGUGAUUUUCAAAGGUCGUCCCCGGGUGGAAGGCGGUGGUCGCUUUGCCAAAAUUAGAGUGCUCAGAGCAGGCACCGAAGCCCGAAUAGUAAUGCACGGAACGACGGAAGACGCCCUCGGUUCCGGGUUUCCGCACCUCCUGGUCGACGGAACCCGAGGGAAUGAUCGAUAGGAGCUGACGGGGGCAUUCGUAUUCCGACGCUAGAGGUGAAAUUCUUGGACCGUCGGAAGACGACCCACUGCGAAGGCAUUUGCCAAGAAUGCUUCCAUUGACCAAGAACGAAAGUGAGAGGCUCAAAGAAGAUUAGAUACCUUUGUAGUUCUGACCGUAAACUCUACCAGCCAGCGAUCCGGCUGCGUACGAAUGCGACGCGCCGGGCAGCUUGCCCGGGAAACCUGAGUUCAGGCUCC
RNAcentral lists this ribosomal RNA (705 nucleotides) under Trichonephila antipodiana. RNAcentral's name for it is "bacterial SSU rRNA". It matches the Rfam family "Eukaryotic small subunit ribosomal RNA", at positions 420 to 1115 of the family's 1831-position model. Lineage: Eukaryota; Metazoa; Arthropoda; Arachnida; Araneae; Nephilidae. The record is from RNAcentral.